CUUGCUGCUUCGCUGACGAGUGGCGGACGGGUGAGUAAUGUCUGGGAAGCUGCCUGAUGGAGGGGGAUAACUACUGGAAACGGUAGCUAAUACCGCAUAAUGUCGGAAGACCAAAGAGGGGGACCUUCGGGCCUCUUGCCAUCGGAUGUGCCCAGAUGGGAUUAGCUUGUUGGUGGGGUAACGGCUCACCAAGGCGACGAUCCCUAGCUGGUCUGAGAGGAUGACCAGCCACACUGGAACUGAGACACGGUCCAGACUCCUACGGGAGGCAGCAGUGGGGAAUAUUGCACAAUGGGCGCAAGCCUGAUGCAGCCAUGCCGCGUGUAUGAAGAAGGCCUUCGGGUUGUAAAGUACUUUCAGCGGGGAGGAAGGGAGUAAAGUUAAUACCUUUGCUCAUUGACGUUACCCGCAGAAGAAGCACCGGCUAACUCCGUGCCAGCAGCCGCGGUAAUACGGAGGGUGCAAGCGUUAAUCGGAAUUACUGGGCGUAAAGCGCACGCAGGCGGUUUGUUAAGUCAGAUGUGAAAUCCCCGGGCUCAACCU
This 543-nucleotide ribosomal RNA is filed under the name uncultured Pseudomonadota bacterium. RNAcentral describes it as "bacterial SSU rRNA". It matches the Rfam family "Bacterial small subunit ribosomal RNA", at positions 79 to 615 of the family's 1533-position model. Lineage: Bacteria; Pseudomonadati; Pseudomonadota. The record is from RNAcentral.